Anolis carolinensis (green anole) is the source of this 8357-nucleotide long non-coding RNA. RefSeq lists it as uncharacterized. The record is from RefSeq and is a predicted model, not a curated record. The transcript is spliced from 5 exons. Lineage: Eukaryota; Metazoa; Chordata; Lepidosauria; Squamata; Anolidae.
UAAAUUGUAAAAUUUGCCUCAGACAAUCUAGGGACGCCGAGAGAGAAGGCAGCUUGGCCUGGGAGCCAUUCUGAAGGCCUGGGUCGGAAGAAAGAAAGAAAGGGCAGCCGCGGCUAGAAGGCCCGAAGAGACAGGCUCCGUUUCUGAAGCAGAAAUGGCAAAGCCUUGUGAAACGGACGGAAGAAAUAAAGGCAAAAUUUUUGAAAAUUUCCACAGCUUUUUCUGAAGGGACCAGCGCUGAAUUCAAGUCAACGUGAAGAAAGAAACAAAAGGUUGAGAGACAGAGGACGGAAGAUGCUUGAAGACGCCCUCGCAAGGACACCGCCUGCCUCCCAAAAAAGGUCGUUUUCAGGGUAAUUGGUGUAAGGGUAGGCAUUUAAUGUCUAUCUUUGCAUUAAAAAAAGGGUUACCUUUGCACACGGUUCCCCUCGCGUGUGGCAUCGAAGUCCCACUCGGGAACGGACGGGUCCUCCCUUUGUUCUAGGCAGAUGAUGGGUCUUCCUAUACGGGCCGUAGGGGUCACAGCUUGGGGGUCAGCGGGGGGGCCCGCCCUGGCAUCGCGGGGGGCAGCACACGUUACGGGCAUUUUAAGAUGUCCUUGCAACUUAGAAAUAAAAAUAUUAAUACCUUAACUCACUUACUAACAUCCUACUAACACCAUUCUAAAUAGGGUACCCUGGCCUUUUAAAUAGGACUGUUCUGCCUGAUGGCAAGAACCAAACUGGGAAGGGAGGGGGCCUCCUGGCCCCCCAUAAAAGGGCCCCCAUGUAAGGACAUUGCAAAAGGCCCCUAAGGUGUCCUGAGAGCAGCCUCUUGGUCCUUAGUGUGUUCCCCACGGAGCCAGGUCUGGGCCCCUUGCUCUCCCCCAACCCAUGGACCCUGCCGCUUGUAUAUCAUCCGUCCAGGGCCAACGGACGCCCCCUCCCUCUCCGGGCGGAGCUUCGAGGCCACACUCAAGGGGAGACCAGAGCCGUGUGCCUCAUGCCAACGCCUAGCACGUGGCGAACCUUUUUUUUUACUGCAAACAUAGGCAUCAUGAUUGUGAUUUUUGUUAAUUCCUUUUAAAUUUAAUUGUUUGUAUUUGAUAGCAUGGUAGGCUGGUUUUAUAUCAGUGAGCCGCCCCGAGUCCCUCUGGGGAGACGGUGGCAGGGUACAAAAAUAAAAUUAUUAUUAUUGAUUCGAGGCACCUGGAAAAAGAAAUACCAGGAAGCAGAUAAAAUUAUUAUUAUUAUUAUUAUUGAUUACAGGCACCUGGAAAAAGAAAUACCAGGAAGCAGAUAAAAUUAUUAUUAUUAUUAUUACUGAUUACAGGCACCUGGAAAAAGAAAUACCAGGAAGCAGAUAAAAUUAUUAUUAUUAUUAUUGAUUACAGGCACCUGGAAAAAGAAAUACCAGGAAGCAGAUAAAAUUAUUAUUAUUAUGAUUAUGAUUAUUAUUGAUUCCAGGAAAAAGAAAUACCAGGAAGCAGAUAAAAUUAUUAUUAUUGUUAUUGUUGUUAUUAUGUAGGACCCCCUUUUAUUUAUGUAAGGCCACACACCCAGGGGACCACUAUUCCUAAUUAAAGCCUGGUUAAAGGGAAUCCUCUAUUCUUAAAGUUAAGCGUAUAGAGAUCGCCUAUCCAGAAACUAACGCGGCCUGCCCUAUAGAGAUCUGUUAAACCAAGGCGGCCUGCCCUAUAGAGAUCUCCUAUUUCACGUAAUACCAGGCAAUAUGGAGAUCCCUGGUUUUUUUAACCGUUAAAUCCCUUACGUGGGGAUAUCCCUGGUUUUUUUUAACCGUUAAAUCCCUUACGUGGGGAUAUCCCUGGGUUUUUUUAACCUUUAAGUCCCUAACGUGGGGAAAUCCCAGGUUUUUUUAAUCUUUAAGGCCAGAUGUGGGGAUUUCCUUGUUUCUUUUAACCCGUAAGGCCAGCCAUGGGGAGAUAUCUUAGGCUGUUUUCACGAAAAGUCAGGUAUAGACGCACUGUUUUCUCUCCCGUUCCAUGUGCCUGGACUCCCGGAGGGCUCCUGCCGGACACCGUCUCCCAUCGGCCGAGAGGGAUCCUUCUUGUCUGGGAAGGAUCUGCAACACAGGUAAAAAGAAGAUUCCGGGAAGGAGAUUCUACAGCGGAGCCCUUAAGCCAGGUGAGACGCUCCUUCCAGCCUCCACGGCUGCCUUGCACACACACACACACACACACACACACACAUGAGACACACAAACACACAUGACACACAAACACAUACACAUGUACAGCUGGUGCCCACGGGGACUCUUCCCCAAUAGAUCGGGGACUCCCACUCCGGCGAUUGGCCAUUGUAAAUGCCUUGCAGUUUGGGGCUUCCGGCCAAGCGCUUGCAAAGAGAAUCCAUUCAAGGUUGGACCCCCUUUUAAAGGGCCUGGCACGUGGUAUUUAUUCCUGGCACGUGGAAAACUCCAUUUGUAAGGCAAACCCUCGUUAAAGGAGGUUUGCAAUUAAUUUAAAACCAGGCUUCUGAGGUACCCGCUGCGUUUAAAGCCAACCUAGCAGGUGGGAACCCCUUUGGUUAACGUAAGGCGAGGGACCCUCCAUAUUUAAUAAGAUGCCUGGCAGAAUCUUAACCUAAAUGCAGGCCUAUGGGCUACAGCCUAUUCUGCAUAGCCAGGCAUGGGGGGACCCCAGAUUAUUAACUUGAGGCCUGGGAAAAGGAGAUUUUUGUAUUUAUUUAUUACAAUAUUUAUAUCCCGCCCUCUCUCCCCUUAAAAGGGGACUCAGAGCAGCUUACGUUAUAUUUACAUAUUUAUUUAUUACAAUAUUUAUAUCCCUCUGUCUCCCCUUAAAGGGGACUCAGAGUGGCUUACAAGUUAUAUUUACAUAUUUAUUUAUUACAAUAUUUAUAUCCCGCCCUCUCCCCUUAAAAGGGGACUCAGAGUGGCUUACAAGUUAUAUUUACAUAUUUAUUUAUUACAAUAUUUAUAUCCCGCCCUCUCUCCCCUUAAAAGAGGACUCAGAGCGGUUUACAAGUGAUAUUUACAUAUUUAUUUAUUACAAUAUUUAUAUCCGGCCCUCUCUCCCCUUAAAAGGGGACUCAGGGCGGCUUACAAGUGAUAUUUACAUAUUUAUUUAUUUAUUACAAUAUUUAUAUCCCUCGCUCUCUCUCCUUUAAAAGGGGACUCAGGGCGGCUUAACAAUAAGACGCAUGUAUAAAAAACCAUACAGUGCAAUAUAAAUCAUCAUUAACUUACAUCAGUAUUCAUAAAACACAUUAUAAAAUACAGAUAGGUGUGUUCAGUUCAAAUCCAUUCAAGGUAUACGUGGACCCCCUUUUAAUGCCAACCUUUCCACGUGGAAAACUCCAUUUGUAAGGCAAACCCUUGUUAAAGGAGGUUUGCAAUUAAUUUAAAACCAGGCUUCUGAGGGACCCGCUGCGUUUAAAGCCAAACCUAGCAGGUGGGAACCCCUUUGGUUAACGUAAGGCGAGGGACCCUCCAUAUUUAAUAAGAUGCCUGGCAGAAUCUUAACCUAAAUGCAGGCCUAUGGGCUACAGCCUAUUCUGCAUAGCCAGGCAUGGGGGGACCCCAGAUUAUUAACUUGAAGCCUGGGAAAAGGAGAUUUUUUAUUUAUUUAUUUAUUUAUUACAAUAUUUAUAUCCCGCCCUCUCUCCCCUUAAAAGGGGACUCAGAGCGGCUUACAAGAGAUAUUUGCAUAUUUAUUUAUUACAAUAUUUAUAUCCGGCCCUCUCUCCCCUUAAAAGGGGACUCAGAGCGGCUUACAUGAGAUAUUUACAUAUUUAUUUAUUACACUAUUUAUAUCCCGCCCUUCUCACCCAACAGGGGACUCAGGGCGGCUUAACAAUAAGACGCAUAUAUAAAAAACCAUACAGUGCAAUAUAAAUCAUCAUUAACUUACAUCAGUAUUCAUAAAACACAUUAUAAAAUACAGAUAGGUGUGUUCAGUUCAAAUCCAUUCAAGGUAUACGUGGACCCCCUUUUAAUGCCAACCUUUCCACGUGGAAAACUCCAUUUGUAAGGCAAACCCUCGUUAAAGGAGGUUUGCAAUUAAUUUAAAACCAGGCUUCUGAGGGACCCGCUGCGUUUAAAGCCAAACCUAGCAGGUGGGAACCCCUUUGGUUCACGCAAGGUGAGGGACCCUCUAUUUUUAAUAGGAUGCCUGGCAGAAUCUUAACCUAAAUGCAGGCCUAUGGGCUACAGCCUAUUCUGCAUAGCCAGGCAUGGGGGGACCCCAUAUGAUGAAUUUGAAGCCUGGUAAAAGGAGAUUUUUGUAUUUAUUAACUUAUUACAUUUAUAUCCCGCCCUCUCUCCCCUUAAAAGGGGACUCAGAGCGGCUUACGAGUUAUAUUUACAUAUUUAUUUAUGUAUUACAAUAUUUAUAUCCCGCUGUCUCCCCUUAAAGGGGACUCAGAGCGGCUUACGAGUUAUAUUUACAUAUUUAUUUAUUUAUUACAAUAUUUAUAUCCCGCUGUCUCUCCCCUUAAAGGGGACUCAGAGCGGCUUACAAGUUAUAUUUACAUAUUUAUUUAUUUAUUACAAUAUUUAUAUCCCGCCCUCUCUCCCCUUAAAGGGGACUCAGGGCAGCUUAACAAUAAAACGCAUAUAUAAAAACCAUACAGUGCAAUAUAAAUCAUCAUUAACUUACAUCAGUAUUCAUAAAACACAUCAUAAAAUACAGAUAGGUGUAUUACAUACACUGUAUCAUUAGCAUCGCACAAUAUUAGCAUUAUAUACUACAUUGCAUUAUACCACUAUACAGAAAUAUUAUUAGCAAUAUUACAUUUAAUAUAUAAUAUGUAAUUCAUAUUAUUAUAUUGUAUCAUUGUUAGUAUUAUAUUGCAUUAUUUAUUUAUUUGCUAGAUGUAUAUGCUGCCCUUCUCACCCCCAAGGUGAAUGGCUUACAAAUUAAAUUUACAUACAAUAUUAUAUUAUUACCAUAGUACAAUACCGGCAGUAAAUUACUAUAUUGUACUAUAUGAAUAUAUGGUAAUAUUAUUAGUAGUAUUACAUGCAAAAUGUAAUACAUAAUUAAUAUUAUAUUUAAUUAUUAGUAUAUCGUUUUACAAUAUAAUAUGAACAUUAUAUGUAUAUGCAAUAUGUUAUAAUUAUAUAUUAAAUUUUAUAUAUAUAUACAUAUAUAUACACACAGUAGAGUCAUCCAACAUAAAUGGGCCAGCGAAUAUUUAUUUAUUUAUUUACAGCAUUUUACCGGGCUGGCCUUGAACUCAUGACCUCCUGGUCAGAGUGAUUUGUUGAUAUUUAUUAUUCAUUUACAGCAUUUAUAUUCCGCCCUUCCUUCUCACCCCGAAGGGGACUCAGGGCGGAUCACAUGACACAUAUAGGCAAACAUUCAAUGCCUUUUAACAUAGAACAAAGACAAACAAACAGGCUCCGAGCGGGCCUCGAACUCGUGACCUCCUGGUCAGAGUGAUUCAUUGCAGUUAAUUGCAGCUGGCUUGCUUUCCAGCCUGCGCUGUUGGAUAAUGAGGCAUUAUGGAAAAGCCUAUUAAACAUCAAAUUAGUUGAUGAUUUUACAAAUUAAGCACCAAAACAUCAUUUGACAGAAAAAGUAGUUCAAUAUGCAGUAAUGCUAUGUAGUAAUUACUGUAUUUACGGAUUUAGCACCAAAAUAUCACGACGCAUUGAAAACAUGGACUACAAAAAUGCGUUGAAUAAUCCAGAAUGUUGGAUAAGAGAGUGUUGGAUGAGACUACUGUAUAUGCAAUAUAAAUUAGAAUAGCAUGUUAUUGGGGGAGGAGCAUCUUGGUUAUUAGAUGUUUUUAUUAGUUAUUGAUAUUAGUAUAGAUAUGACAUUGAGUAUAUAUUAUCCUAGCACACUGUUAAUAUUAGUUAUUGAUAUUAGUCUCCAUAUGACAUUAAUAGAGUAUAUUAUUAUUCUAGCACAAUGUUAUUACAUAGGACCAUGUUGUUGCUAGGGGGAGGGCCCCCCCACUGAUUGUAUUAUUAGUAUUAUGUUGUUGCUAGGGGGAGGGCCCCCCAACUGAGAUCCCCUGUCAUUAAUGUGUCAGACCAGGCAUUUCACUCCUACCUUUGCAUCAGAAAGCAGGCUCCCUGUGCGCUAGGCCUUCCUUUGAGGAACACAUUCACAGCUCCGCUUGAGUGUGGCAUUGAGGCCCCACUCAGGGACGGGCGGGUCCUCCCUUUGCCCUGGGCAGAUCGUGGGGGGUGGGCGGAUCUCCCUAGACGGGUUAGGGGGUCGCGGCUGGCGGGACAGCGGGAUAUAAAAAUAUAAAUAUAUAUAUAUAAACCCUUGCACUCAAGGAAACAACUCUGGGGACCCGAGCGGCUGCUCCCAGCUCACGUCACGGGCAUUUUAAACAUCUCAUAGCAGCUCAGAUUAAUACCUGAACUAACCUUAACCUGCUAACCCUACUAACCCAUUUCUAACUAGAGCAGGAAUUUUAAAUAGGGCUGUUUUUGCCUGUUGGCAAGAACCAAGCUGGGAGGGGGCCUCCGGGCCUCGGGUGGGAAGAACCCUAACCCUGUCCCUGCCCUGCGCUGGGAGCGCCCCCCCUCGGGACCCCAGUGUUUGGUCCCCGCUCUCCCCCAAUCCGACGGCCUAGAAAGCCCCUCCGCCAUCCGCCCAGGGCCAACGGACGCCCCUCCCUCCCUCCCUCCCCGGCAGCCGCGUUCCUCAUGCAACAGGGAGCCUGGUUCUGGAUGCAAACGUGGGACCCCCUUAGGACCCCCUUUUCUCUGUGCAGGGACCCCCGCUCCCCAUAAAUAAAUGCCUGGUGGAAGGGGAUCCUAGUAGAAAAAGCCACAGUUCCCAAGAGCCCCCAAAAGCGAGAUGCUCCCUUGGUUCAGCCCUUCUGACACUUGUUUUCUCCCUUGUUCUAUGUCUCCGGAAUCGCCGAGGGAGGGGCUCCUCCUGGACAAGAGCCAAGGACGGACAGAUGGAUGGAUGGACGGAAGGAGAUCCCAGAGAGCAGGACGCCUUGCCGUUCUGGCUGCUGAGCUCGACCCCUUUCCAACAAUGUCAGCGUUCCAGAAUAAAACUCUUUCCAAAAAAAGGUGUUUUCUGGUUAUUAUUCAAACGUUUAAUUUUUGACAGCCUUAAACAUCUAGAUUACAAUACAGUUUGUGCUGCUGCCUUUUAUAAACCUUGUUUUCUACAAAUAAAGUCAAGAGAAAACACUAUAAGUUUUGCACUGUGCUCAGACUCAUUGUUCUGAUAUUCUGUUAUAUGGUUUUAUUAUUUAUAUCGUUUUUAAUGUAUGACUUUAUUACAUGUGACAUGGGAGCGGGGUAUAAAAAUAAAGUAUUAUUAAUAAACACCACAAUGUUCUUGCACCCCAAGUACAUCUGGCCAUUGCCAAAGAGUAUUUAACUCUGCCUACAUGGCACUAAGUGUAUUUAUAUGUUGAUUGUUUCUAUUGAUUUUAUGUAAUGUUUGCUUUAUUUGCAUUGAAUUUUUGUCUGGAUGUAUCUUGUAUGCCGCUCAUCUCCAUAAAUGAGCGGGAUAGAAUGAGGUUAAUAAUUUUACGAAUGUUUUAAUGUAACUUGAAUUUUAAAUUGAGUUGAAAUGUGACUGUAAUUGUUUAUAAGUGUUAUCUAUUUGUAAGCCACCCUGAGUCUCCUCUUAUUGGGUGAGAAGGUCUGGGAAGAAAUACUGUCAUAAAUAAAUAAAAUGUUCUGUGUCCAGGUUGCUUCAUGGGUUGACUUCUCUGGCAGGAUUAAUCUGCAGGGCCUUUCCUGUGGGAAAGUUUACACAGGGACUAACAAGCAUGGAGCAGGGAAGGCACUGCAGACACUCCUGCGCAUGCGCGGACUGCUCCCUAGUAGAAACUUGGCCCCGCCUACUACAGCCAUCCUUUUCCCUUCUGCGGAAUUUGGCCCCGCCCACUACAGGCAUUCCCUUCACUUCUGCGUCUGCGCGGCCUCCGUCACAGAGUGGCAAGAUGGUUGCCCGGCCCGGUCCAUGGAUGUGUCAGGGUUGGCGACGGAAGGGACGGGUUGUGUGAUGGACCUGCCGGGACUUGGGGGCGGGGCAAGGGGCGUGGCCUGGCGCGUGAGAGCCGGGGAAGGGAACAGCCAAGAUGGCGGCCGGGGUGAGUGAGGCGAGCGAAGCGCCGCUGAGGAGAACCAGUGGCCCAUGUACAUGCUGGACUACGGCGGCCUCAAUGUUCCGCUUCCGGGAGCCAUGAAUUAUUCGGACCUCAGUUUCUGAACCAGAACCUCCGAACAAAAGAAAACAAAAGAAAUAAUGAACGGUGUGUAAUUUUCGUUUGUACAAAGUGUAUAUUAUUCCAAUAUGUAUUGAUGCCUUUCAGUUUUUCCAAUGAUUUUUACACUAUAUUCCUGCUGCCAGGGCCUUUUUAAAUAAAAAAAGAAUAAGAAGGGUUGCCUUGCUCUGAAAAAUCAAA